GAUGAACGCUGGCGGUGUGCCUAAUACAUGCAAGUCGAGCGAACGGACGAGAAGCUUGCUCCUCUGAUGUUAGCGGCGGACGGGUGAGUAACACGUGGAUAACCUACUUAUAAGACUGGGAUAACUUCGGGAAAACGGAGAUAAUACCGGAUAAUACUUUCAACCGCAUGGUUCAAAAGUGAAAGACGGUUUUGCUGUCACUUAUAGAUGGAUCCGCGUUGCAUUAGCUAGUUGGUAAGGUAACGGCUUACCAAGGCAACGAUGCGUAGCCGACCUGAGAGGGUGAUCGGCCACACUGGAACUGAGACACGGUCCAGACUCCUACGGGAGGCAGCAGUAGGGAAUCUUCCGCAAUGGGCGAAAGCCUGACGGAGCAACGCCGCGUGAGUGAUGAAGGUCUUCGGGUCGUAAAACUCUUUUAUUGGGGAAGAAAAUAUGUGUAAGUAACUGUGCACGUCUUGACGGUACCUAAUCAGAAAGCCACGGCUAACUACGUG
This 497-nucleotide ribosomal RNA is filed under the name uncultured bacterium. Its description in RNAcentral is "partial 16S ribosomal RNA". It matches the Rfam family "Bacterial small subunit ribosomal RNA", at positions 28 to 507 of the family's 1533-position model. The record is from RNAcentral.